UACGGAGGGAGCAAGCGUUACUCGGAAUUACUGGGCGUAAAGGGCGCGUAGGCGAUUCGAUAAGUCUUGUGUGAAAGCCCCGUGCUUAACGCGGGAAGUGCAUAAGAUACUGUAGAAAUUGAGUUCCGGAGAGGAAGAUGGAAUUCCCGGUGUAGCGGUGAAAUGCGUAGAUAUCUGGAGGAACAUCAGUGGCGAAGGCGACACCCUGGACUCAUACUGACACUGAGGUGCGAAAGCGUGGGGAGCAAACAGG
Molecule: ribosomal RNA, 253 nt
Filed under: uncultured bacterium
Lineage: Bacteria
Description: partial 16S ribosomal RNA
Rfam family: Bacterial small subunit ribosomal RNA
Source: RNAcentral